RNAcentral lists this ribosomal RNA (254 nucleotides) under uncultured bacterium. RNAcentral's name for it is "partial 16S ribosomal RNA". It matches the Rfam family "Bacterial small subunit ribosomal RNA", at positions 524 to 776 of the family's 1533-position model. The record is from RNAcentral.
GACAGAGGGGGCAAGCGUUGCUCGGAAUCACUGGGCGUAAAGGGCGCGUAGGCGGGAUGGCAAGUCGGUCGUGAAAUCCCUGGGCUCAACUCAGGGGGGGUCGGCCGAUACUGCCGUUCUUGAGGGAUGCAGAGGAGACUGGAAUUCCCGGUGUAGCGGUGAAAUGUGUAGAGAUCGGGAGGAACACCGGUGGCGAAGGCGGGUCUCUGGGCAGUAACUGACGCUGAGGAGCGAAAGCGUGGGGAGCGAACAGG